GACGAACGCUGGCGGCGUGCUUAACACAUGCAAGUCGAACGGAAAGGCCCUGCUUUUGUGGGGUGCUCGAGUGGCGAACGGGUGAGUAACACGUGAGUAACCUGCCCUUGACUUUGGGAUAACUUCAGGAAACUGGGGCUAAUACCGGAUAGGAGCUCCUGCUGCAUGGUGGGGGUUGGAAAGUUUCGGCGGUUGGGGAUGGACUCGCGGCUUAUCAGCUUGUUGGUGGGGUAGUGGCUUACCAAGGCUUUGACGGGUAGCCGGCCUGAGAGGGUGACCGGCCACAAUGGGACUGAGAUACGGACCAGACUCCUACGGGAGGCAGCAGUGGGGAAUAUUGCACAAUGGGCGGAAGCCUGAUGCAGCAACGCCGCGUGCGGGAUGACGGCCUUCGGGUUGUAAACAGCUUUCGCCUGUGACGAAGCGUGAUUGACGGUAAUGGGUAAAGAAGCACCGGCUAACUACGUG
This 468-nucleotide ribosomal RNA is filed under the name uncultured bacterium. RNAcentral describes it as "partial 16S ribosomal RNA". It matches the Rfam family "Bacterial small subunit ribosomal RNA", at positions 28 to 507 of the family's 1533-position model. The record is from RNAcentral.